GACGAACCCGUGCAAACGUUGUUCGGAAUCACUGGGCUUAAAGGGCGCGUAGGCGGGCUAUCAAGUCAGUGGUGAAAUCUUUCAGCUCAACUGGAAAAGUGCCGCUGAUACUGGUAGUCUCGAGGGAGGUAGGGUCGAUGGAACUAAUGGUGGAGCGGUGAAAUGCGUAGAUAUCAUUAGGAACGCCGGUGGCGAAAGCGAUCGACUGGACCUCUUCUGACGCUGAGGCGCGAAAGCUAGGGGAGC
Molecule: ribosomal RNA, 246 nt
Filed under: uncultured bacterium
Lineage: Bacteria
Description: partial 16S ribosomal RNA
Rfam family: Bacterial small subunit ribosomal RNA
Source: RNAcentral